GAAACGUCUUGGAGGCGAAACAUCCGAGGACCUUAAACGUCCAUGGGAAAUGAAAUUUGUGAUGUUAUGAUAAUUAAUUUGUUAAAUAGGUUCAUUGAGGUUUUGUCAAAAUGGCUUGGGUCAACACACACGAUGCCUCUGUCUUUGUCUGUGGUUUGAAGACUUUUCUGGAAGAAAACCACACGGGACACCUACUGGGGGACUCGGCUAUCAACAAUAGGUACAACAAUGCCCAGUCAAGUGUAUUGUGGUUGAGAGGGCUUUUGGACUGCCAAAGAGUAGAUUUAGGUGUCUACAUAAAACUGGCGGUUGUUUAUUCGUGAGACUCGAUGAGUGCUGUCAAGCAGUGGCUGCAUGAAUGCGCCUGCACAACUUAUGCAUAGAUUAGCAGGUGCCACUGCCUGAACAACUUACUGAGGCACAGGAAGUGGAUGAGGUUGUGCACAGUCCACAACAAGACCAAAAUGCAGCUUAUAUGGACAACACAUCAUUAACUUACUUAUGUAGUUGCUGUUUUAUGCUAACAUGUGCACGAAGUGCUAUAGGUGAGUCAUUGUGGUCUGUCUAUGUUCGGCGACAUGUGUUUAUAUUCAAUAUUUGACUCUUUGUUGAUGAAAGAUGGUCAUAAUGUUUCUGCUAAUGAUACAUAAUAACUUAAUAAGUUAAUGAUUUCUUGUCUAUGAACUGCUGCACUUCGGUCAAGUGUGGUCAACAUCUUUGAAAAAGUGUGGAUAUUGACAAUUUCUACCGUUCUUGUGGAUGUUUUUCAUUAAGGACACACUUUUUACAAUAUUCAUUUAUGCAAUGCGUACCAUGAUUCAUGUUUCGUUUAUAUAAUAACAAAGUGAAAAUAAACUCUACUCCUUUAUUUCAUUAUCUUUGUAACAUAACAAUACAGGGUUUUCUCCAACAACUCUACAGCUAGGGAACAAUGAAGUGGAACACUAUCUGAAAAUGAAAUACAUUUUAUGUUAAUAAAAUUUGUAUUUGUAAGACAAGUGAUGAAAUAAAGGUUAACAUUGUAACAUAAAGAGAUGUGGUUUGCUCUUUAAAGAGCAUGUACUGUGUAUACUGCACAUCAGACGAGGUUCUGUUGGAACUAAUAGUUUCAUAUAAAAAAUUCUUGAGAAUGAAUUGUAUCAUUUAUGAUAAGAUGGAUUGUUGAUUCAUUAUUACACAUUCAUGAACGUACACUUCAUAAGUUAAUCUUUAAUUUUCAUGGAACUCACAUCUUUUUUUUCUUACUGGCUCAUCUGACUGGGCCUCACAUGCGCUGUUUCGCGGAUUUCCUAUAAUGAUUAUAUAUGAAUGAAUAUGUCUCGUAAAAUAACAUAAGUAAUCCAAUAUGUUAAUUUAGCUUAUGUAUGCUCGUUAAUUUAUUUUCUACAAGUCCAUGUAAAAAAAACUAACUUUUUUGUAAUUACUAAAAAAAAAAAAGAUUCAAUUGAUUUUUUACAAUUGGUAUUGUGGAAUGUGAUUAACCUUUUUUAUGCUCCACCAAAAUUUAUUUUGAGGGGAGCUUAUAGUCGCCGUUUCGUCUGUCUGUCCGUCUGUCCGUCCGAGCACAAUUUUUGUCCGGGCUAUUUCUCAGAAACUAAUGACCAGAAUUCAAUGAAACUUUAUGGGAAGCUUCACUACCAAGAGGAGAUGUGCAUAUUAUCAGUGGGUU
Molecule: long non-coding RNA, 1669 nt
Organism: Dreissena polymorpha
Lineage: Eukaryota; Metazoa; Mollusca; Bivalvia; Myida; Dreissenidae
Exons: 4
Source: RefSeq, a predicted model, not a curated record